GAUGAACGCUGGCGGCGUGCCUAAUACAUGCAAGUAGAACGCUGAAGCAGUAGCUUUCUCUUCUGGAUGAGUUGCGAACGGGUGAGUAACGCGUAGGUAACCUGCCUGGUAGUGGGGGAUAACUACUGGAAACGAUAGCUAAUACCGCAUGACAACAGCUAUUGCAUGAUAACUGUUGAAAAGGGGCAACUGCUCCACUACCAGACGGACCUGCGUUGUAUUAGCUAGUUGGUGAGGUUAAGCCACACCAAGGCGACGAUACAUAGCCGACCUGAGAGGGGGGUCGGCCACCCUGGGACGGAGACAGGGCCCAGACUGCUACGGGAAGCAGCAGUAGGGAAUCUUGGGCCAUGGGCGGAAGUCUGACCGAGCAAGGCCGCGUGAGUGAAGAAGGUUUUCGGAUCGUAAAGCUCUGUUGUAAGGGAAGAAAGAGUGUGAGAGUGGAAAGUUCACAGUGUGACGGUAACUUAUCAGAAAGGGACGGCUAACUACGUG
RNAcentral lists this ribosomal RNA (495 nucleotides) under uncultured bacterium. RNAcentral's name for it is "partial 16S ribosomal RNA". It matches the Rfam family "Bacterial small subunit ribosomal RNA", at positions 28 to 507 of the family's 1533-position model. The record is from RNAcentral.